Molecule: unclassified non-coding RNA, 307 nt
Filed under: plant metagenome
Description: partial contains 5.8S ribosomal RNA, internal transcribed spacer 2, and large subunit ribosomal RNA
Rfam family: 5.8S ribosomal RNA (bases 1-105)
Source: RNAcentral
GAAAUGCGAUAAGUAGUGUGAAUUGCAGAAUUCAGUGAAUCAUCGAAUCUUUGAACGCACAUUGCGCCCUUUGGUAUUCCAAAGGGCAUGCCUGUUCGAGCGUCAUUUGUACCCUCAAGCUUUGCUUGGUGUUGGGCGUCUUGUCUCUAGCUUUGCUGGAGACUCGCCUUAAAGUAAUUGGCAGCCGGCCUACUGGUUUCGGAGCGCAGCACAAGUCGCACUCUCUAUCAGCAAAGGUCUAGCAUCCGUUAAGCCUUUUUUCAACUUUUGACCUCGGAUCAGGUAGGGAUACCCGCUGAACUUAAGC